CCGAGUGUUUGGUUAUCGCGAUCUCCCAUGCUUGCUGGGAACGCGAGACUUUUCUGAGUAGCGACGAGAAUCGAGUCCUGAGUCUCGUUUCAUCUGGUUGCUGGGUGUGCGCGUCUGUGAAGAGUCUUGGGGCCAAUCUCUGAGGAAAAGUAGAGUUGGGAGGUACGCAUCCUUGAACUGAGUUAACCUUGAGCAAAAUGGAAGAUGUGGUCACAUUCCAGAGUGGAAGCUCACUCUGUCAGCCUAUAAGGAGAAAAAUAGUUUAAGCCUCUUUUUGUGAAGACGUGGGAACUUGGAGUAGUAUUUUAAGGCUACCCCAAAACCACUAAAACUUGUUUGGGAGUCUGUUACAGUUAAGCGUGUUGACAAUUUCCUAUUUCCCGCCAAAGCAGUUCACCCUUAUGUUCAUGGUAGUUUGGCCAUUGAAAGGCAUACUUUCUGCUUCACGAAAAUACGGCGACCUUAUUGUGGUUGUUACCUCGGAAAAUAAGUCUUCAGGUAAGUUUAGGGAACUCGCGGGGAACUGCCUUUCUAACACAUCCAAGAGCAAUGUUUUUGAUAUUUUUGAGUUUCUCUUAUGGAAAUUUCUUGCGUAAUCUAUCGGGAGGCCUUUUGCACUGAAUAAGCGAAGGAGGAAUUCUUUCGGCAUUGAUGUUUGUUGUCAGACAUUGCCGUGGUGGAUACAAGUGAUGCACUGGACAGUCGUUUAUUUUAAUCCCCGUUCGUUCUUGGUAAAAUUCUUCUAUUCAUUCUUUCAGAGGGUCCUAGCUUGUUCAUCCAACAAUUCUUUACAACCCAUUAGCUUGAAAGGUGAAAACAGGCGAAAUACAUGUGUUGACCGGCAGGGCAUCCUGGGAAUUGUAGUCAUUGUUUAAUGGUCCUGUCAAAACUUGCUUUUGUUUUUACCAGCUCUUACGUUUGGAAACCCUUUAGCGGUUCACUAAAACGAGAAACAUUUUACACAGAGCAGGCACCUGAUUAAAAAAAAAACAAUUCUAAUUUCAAAUCUAGAAAUUAAGGAUUUUUUUUAAUUUAAAGAGGACCUCAGAAAUUGUACUUGAAUUAAGAAGUUAUGCUUAUCAGUAGAGCCUAUUAAUUGCUAUGAUUGAUGUGGAAAAAAUGCAUUUUGGGUCUAGAGAAAAUGACAUUUCUGUCUUGAGUCAGAGAAAGCUUCACACAAUUUUGAGCCUGAUAUUAGAGCAUCCCUGAGUAGCAGUGGCUUGCAAAAGUGUUCAAGGCUGAGGGGACAGGGUAAACAAAGUGAUAACUGUCUGUCCCAAAGGUCUCAAAUAGUGAAAUCUUGAUUAUCCAGUCAUGUUCUCCAGUCCUCUUGAUCAAGCACCCCAAAAAUCUAAUCCCAAAUGUAAUCCUCUGGCUGUUACUACAUGCUAGUUUAUUAUUUGAAUUCCUUCAGUGUGUAAUUUAUUUCCUUCCUUAGUAGGCCAAUUAAAUCCCAGGCAGAUUAUGCUAAGAUUUAAUCCUGUUAAAAAAAUUCUCCUUCGUUUUAGCUGAACUUAGGUUGGUUUCUGUCUCUUGAUACCAAGACAUAUUCUCUUCCAUUUUCACUGCCUACCACCUUAGUCUCAACUUUUGAGUCUGGAAUUUUGUGUAAGCCUGUUUAAUGUUCACGUGAUCUCGGUGUCUACCUUCUGGCAAGUAACCAAACAUUCCUGUCUGAUUAAAUGCUUUAAAAAUAACACUGUAUACUGUUCAUCUCUUUUUAUAUUUUUUAAUAAAAUUUACUUUCUACUUCUGGUGAAGAACAGGCACAAGAUUAAGGAGUAAAAGACUAUGUGAAAUAGGUAUGUGAAAUGAAAGGUUGCUCUAUAUUCCAAGCUUAAAAUAACAAGUACAAAUUAAGUUGUUAGUCCCUGUAUCUGGAAUUCUCUUCCCCAGAUAGCUGCACAUCUUCCUCUACUUCCUUCUGGUCUCAGCUCACAUGUUACGUACUCAGGCCAUUCUGGAUUAUUUUAUCUAAAAUUGUAUCUCUUAUUUAUCACUCUAUCCCCUUAUCCAGUUUUUUAAAAAGGUUUUUUUUUUUUUUUUUAAUUUUUAGAUAGGAGAGGGGAAGGAGAAAGAGAGAGAAACAGCAAUGUGUGGUUGCUUUUCAUGUGCUCCCCGUUGGGAACCUGGCCUGCAACCCAGGCAUGUGCCCUGGGAAUCGAACUGGUGACCCUUUUGGUUUGCAGGCUGGUGGUCAAUCCAUUGAGCCGCACCAGCUAGAGCCCAGUUUUUUCUUAAAAAAUAAACCUAUCAGAAAUGGGAGCAACUAUGGAAAAAGUCCUUCUGCAAGGGGGUGGGACAUAGAAGGGGCACAACAUGGGGAAUGUUAUCACUUACUAGGAGGUAUGAGCCACAUAUGCAAGCCCUGAGGGCCCAGGGAGUCUACAGAGCCCAAACCCAUCCCACAUUUCGAAGCUUCAGGCUUACCAAACCAAGCCCUUAACUGCAUAGCAGACUCCCUUUGGUUGAGCAUUGAUGUAUCUUCAGAGCUCUGUAACUGUCAAAUCCCAUUUCUGUUUUUACACUGCAGAAAAUAUGGGCCUCUCUGUGAAGCUCCUUUAACUACCUGACAUUUUACAAUAUAUACUUACUGUCAGUUUCCACUCACUAGUAAUGUGAGCAUUGGAACUUAGGUUUUGUUUACUGAUGCAUCUCCUGCACACAUAGUGCCUGGCACAUGUAAAUGUUCAGUAAAUGAAUGCUGCAAUUGACUCAACUAAGAAAGAUAAUGAUCUUCAUCCUACAAUUUUAGAUCCCAAAAUUCAAGAAAAUCUAUGAGAGAAGGAAAAAUGAUUGUAUAAAAACUGUAAUUUAUGGACAGGGUGCUGUCAAUAAAGCAUAUAAAGAAAAACAUCUUGUUCCCCAAAGUACAAUCGCCCACUGACUGACAAGGGAAAAUCGAGUAAAAACAGUGAAGCUAUACUAUCAAAACCAGUUCAAUGGAGCAGCAACCACUUGUUUGUUAUGUGAAGAAUUUGGCAUAUGACUUGUACAGAGUUGUAACAUCACAAGUCUGAUCAGAAAGUUUGAGUCAAACAUUUUUGUGCAUAGUGCCAAAAGAUCAGGAAGACAAGUUUCAGUGAAGACAGAAGAAAAGGCUACCAAAUUACAGGCAUCACUGUUACAAGACCUCAAAAAUCCAGUAAGCAUCUGUCAGGGGAACUCAGUAUUAGUGACAGACAUGUUUGAAGGUUGCUGGACAAAAUGAAGCCAUGCAUACUGCACUUGCUACACUCCUUACAUGAUGGAGAUUUGGUAGAAUUUUGUGAAAGAUUUUUGGUCAAAUUAUGUAAGGAUGAGAACUUGCCAAGGUAUGGUGGUUGGAUGAGACUACAUUCAAAUUGAACAGUCAUAUCUUUAGCCAUAAUUAUGUGCAUUGGAACAAUGUGAAUCCACACAUUAUUUUAGAGAAACAUAAACUUACCAGGGGUAACAGUGUGGGUGGCAGUAUCAGUAACAGGUAUAAUUGGGCCAGUGUUCUUUGAUGGUACUGUUAAUCAGAAUAAUUACCUACAUGUCCUAAAAACAGAAUUGUGGCCUAGAGUUGAACAUGACUUCCAGCAGCACACCACAUGUGUUGAGUGUCAGAGUGGCUAGGCAUGCAUUUUGAAGGGAGAUGCAUAGGGCCACGAGAGUCAUUGGAGUAGCCAGCUCAAUCUCAAGACCUAACUCUGCCUGAGUUCUUUUUGUGGAAUGUCCUUAAAGAUCUUGUGUACAAGACUGAACACUGAUGAACUGAAAGACAGAAUUUGGGACAAAUUUGCUGACAUUACUGUCGAAUUAUGUUGUAAGACUUGUUUAGUGUAGUUGGUAGGGUAUGUGAAUGUCUUGCAUGAGACAGAAAGCACAUAUGGUGUGCAUGAGUGUUACAUGUUACAAUGUAACAUAACAUUUACAUGCUGUUAUAUUAUAGAAUUACACGCUUAUGAUUUUGUAAUACAAGGUUUGGUAUAGAUUGCCAGCUCAUAAAACGGGCAUUAUUUGUGCUGAACCCUGUAUAUAAUUUGCUUAAGUAAUGAUUAUAAAAAAGGAAAAGAGAUAUGGGCAUUAUUUGCCUAAUUAUAACAGUCUGUUAGACUUAUGUGUGCCUACUUACUCUCUCCAGGGCUGGUCCCUAUACCAGAACAAUAGUGAAAGCCAGUGAAUAAUUCUAGAACAGGGCUCUCUGAGCCUAAUUGUACUAUAAACUAUAUAGGAUUAUACUUAGGUCACUCAGACUACUGCUUAAAGGACUAUCACACUGGAGGUUAUUUGGCUUGACCUUAGACAGUGGAAGGGAGAAAUGUGGCAGUUUUUAAAUCCCUUAUGAUGUUAAAAAAAACAAAACAAAAACAAACCACUCUUAUACAGAGAUAUAAUGUUUUAGUUCUCAUCUUUCCCUAUAGGCUACUUGAACAAUGAGAUUAUAGACUGGGAAUAAAUCAGUAGUCAUAGUUUACUCAGAUCAUAGGUAUUAGGCAUAACUGCAACAGAAUGUAGUAUGGCCAAAAAACACCCAUGCCAACAUAAGUUCUUUCACCUACUCGUAGUAACUACAAAAGGUCAAUUUUGUUAUCAGUUCUAGAACUGAACAACGUGGCUUUUAUCAAACUCAAAAACUUUUAGCCCCAA
This is a long non-coding RNA of Phyllostomus discolor (pale spear-nosed bat), 4614 nucleotides long. RefSeq lists it as uncharacterized. Lineage: Eukaryota; Metazoa; Chordata; Mammalia; Chiroptera; Phyllostomidae. The transcript has 2 exons. The record is from RefSeq and is a predicted model, not a curated record.